Molecule: long non-coding RNA, 1220 nt
Organism: Tribolium castaneum (red flour beetle)
Lineage: Eukaryota; Metazoa; Arthropoda; Insecta; Coleoptera; Tenebrionidae
Exons: 3
Source: RefSeq, a predicted model, not a curated record
CUUAGUUAAGAUGACAUUUUACAAAAAUAAUUACUGAAUUCAUCAACAGAGUAAAAUGCCUCUUGUAGCAGGAAAGAUUUAACACAGUUUUUAAAAGCCUUGAACUCGAGGUUUUUAUAGGUGUCAGGUAACAUGUUAAAUAAUUUAAUACAGUAAUAACUUGUGCUGUUUCUAGUACGUGAUAAUCGCAGAAAAUUUGGUCUGAGUAAAUGCCGGAAUCUGGUGGAGUAUGUAUGAUCAAACGAAUCAUAUUUGUUUAAGUUUUGAUGAGUAUAUAGAAGACAUUGCAAAAUAUAAGUGCAGGGAACCGUUAAAAUUUUGAAGUUUCUGAAAUAUUGACGACAGUCACUCUGAUAGUGACAGCCAGCAAUAAUUCUGAUACAUUUUCUUUGUAUUUUGAAUAAUUUAGCUGUAUGUGGCGAAUGACCCCAAGCAAGGAUGGCAUAUGAAAGAACACUGUGAAAUAUGGCAUGAUAAACUGAUAAUAAAGUUUUAGUCGAUAAGGUAGAUACAGUCCGGGACAUUUCUAUUUGGACAUAAAAAAUUUGAAUUUUCUGACAUUUAUACGUGUAUUCAGCGUCUAUGUGAACAAAAAAUGUUCUCUCUCUCAUUCAUUCUAUGGUCCUUGCGCUUUAAUAACAGGGACAUUUUUUAAAUUGGUAGCAUUAGAAAAUGACAGUAAACAGCUGACUGAUGUAAACAAUAACACAAUAACAAAGGAAAUGUUAUAAUUUUAAUCUAUAUAACCAGUGGCUGCUUUAAAAGUAGAAACAUUACUUGUCAUAUAACAACUACUUAGAUUAUAUGAUGAGACGGGAAUGGCACAACACAGAAUUGCAGUCAGUGAUUGUGCUGAAGAAAGCUGCUGUGACGUACUGACAGAACUGACUAUCGCUGGUUGUACGAUUUGUGCAAUUUGUGAUAUAUUUUGUGUGAAAAACUGAAAAACAAAGUGCAUAACUGCAUAACCUCACUUAUCGCAGUUUUGCACAUUUUGAUGAUGGGAAUUGCGGUUCAAGUAAUUAUGAGUUAUAGAUGGAGCCCACUGUUUACUUCAAAAGGGUUAGCUGAAGCCUUUUGGGUCCACUUUUUUCGUUGUUAUUUCCUGGUAGCCACUCUUGUUUCAACCAGAAUGGCUGUAAAGUUAAAAAUAAUCCCAUAAAAUUGUUAAUAUAACUCCUUUGCACUGGCAUGGGGUAUUUGAAAACUUACGUUUAACA